GGAUUAGAUACCCGGGUAGUCCACGCUGUAAACGAUGAAAACUAGAUGUUGGUAGGCUUAGACCUAUCAGUAUCGCAGCUAACGCGAUAAGUUUUCCGCCUGGGGAGUACGGUCGCAAGAUUAAAACUCAAAGAAAUUGACGGGGGCCCGCACAAGCGGUGGAGCAUGUGGUUUAAUUCGAUGCAACGCGAAGAACCUUACCUACCCUUGACAUCCAGAGAAUUCUGCAGAGAUGCGGAAGUGCCGAAAGGAACUCUGAGACAGGUGCUGCAUGGCUGUCGUCAGCUCGUGUUGUGAGAUGUUGGGUUAAGUCCCGUAACGAGCGCAACCCUUAUCCUUAGUUGCCAACACGUCAUGGUGGGGACUCUAAGGAGACUGCUGGUGAUG
RNAcentral lists this ribosomal RNA (387 nucleotides) under uncultured bacterium. Its description in RNAcentral is "bacterial SSU rRNA". It matches the Rfam family "Bacterial small subunit ribosomal RNA", at positions 775 to 1160 of the family's 1533-position model. The record is from RNAcentral.